Molecule: ribosomal RNA, 525 nt
Filed under: uncultured organism
Description: SSU rRNA
Rfam family: Bacterial small subunit ribosomal RNA
Source: RNAcentral
GUGCCAGCCGCCGCGGUAAUACGUAGGGUGCGAGCGUUGUCCGGAAUUACUGGGCGUAAAGAGCUCGUAGGUGGUUUGUCGCGUUGUUCGUGAAAACUCACAGCUUAACUGUGGGCGUGCGGGCGAUACGGGCAGACUAGAGUACUGCAGGGGAGACUGGAAUUCCUGGUGUAGCGGUGGAAUGCGCAGAUAUCAGGAGGAACACCGGUGGCGAAGGCGGGUCUCUGGGCAGUAACUGACGCUGAGGAGCGAAAGCGUGGGGAGCGAACAGGAUUAGAUACCCUGGUAGUCCACGCCGUAAACGAUGGGUACUAGGUGUGGGUUCCUUCCUUGGGAUCCGUGCCGUAGCUAACGCAUUAAGUACCCCGCCUGGGGAGUACGGCCGCAAGGCUAAAACUCAAAGGAAUUGACGGGGGCCCGCACAAGCGGCGGAGCAUGUGGAUUAAUUCGAUGCAACGCGAAGACCUUACCUGGGUUUGACAUGCACAGGACGCCGGCAGAGAUGUCGGUUCCCUUGUGGCCUGU